CCUACGGGAGGCAGCAGUGGGGAAUAUUGCACAAUGGGCGAAAGCCUGAUGCAGCGACGCCGCGUGAGGGAUGACGGCCUUCGGGUUGUAAACCUCUUUCAGUAGGGAAGAAGCGAAAGUGACGGUACCUGCAGAAGAAGCGCCGGCUAACUACGUGCCAGCAGCCGCGGUAAUACGUAGGGCGCAAGCGUUAUCCGGAAUUAUUGGGCGUAAAGAGCUCGUAGGCGGUUUGUCGCGUCUGCCGUGAAAGUCCGGGGCUCAACUCCGGAUCUGCGGUGGGUACGGGCAGACUAGAGUGAUGUAGGGGAGACUGGAAUUCCUGGUGUAGCGGUGAAAUGCGCAGAUAUCAGGAGGAACACCGAUGGCGAAGGCAGGUCUCUGGGCAUUAACUGACGCUGAGGAGCGAAAGCAUGGGGAGCGAACAGGAUUAGAUACCCUGGUAGUCCAUGCCGUAAACGUUGGGCACUAGGUGUGGGGGACAUUCCACGUUUUCCGUACCGUAGCUAACGCAUUAAGUGCCCGCCUGGGGAGUACGGCCGCAAGGCUAAAACUCAAAUGAAUUGACGG
RNAcentral lists this ribosomal RNA (567 nucleotides) under uncultured bacterium. Its description in RNAcentral is "bacterial SSU rRNA". It matches the Rfam family "Bacterial small subunit ribosomal RNA", at positions 338 to 916 of the family's 1533-position model. The record is from RNAcentral.